UACGGAGGAUGCAAGCGUUAUCCGGAUUUAUUGGGUUUAAAGGGUGCGCAGGUUGUUUGAUAAGUCAGUGGUGAAAGUCUGUCGCUUAACGGUAGGAUUGCCAUUGAUACUGUUGGACUUGAAUAUGGAUGAGGUAGGCGGAAUGUGUAGUGUAGCGGUGAAAUGCAUAGAUAUUACACAGAACACCGAUUGCGCAGGCAGCUUACUAAACUACUACUGACGCUCAGGCACGAAGGCGUGGGGAUCAAACA
Molecule: ribosomal RNA, 251 nt
Filed under: uncultured prokaryote
Description: partial 16S ribosomal RNA
Rfam family: Bacterial small subunit ribosomal RNA
Source: RNAcentral